CACACGUGUUACAAUGGCAGGUACAGAGGGGUGCUACCGGGUGACCGGAUGCCGAUCUCGAAAACCUGUCCCAGUUCGGACUGGAGUCUGCAACCCGACUCCACGAAGUUGGAUUCGCUAGUAAUCGCGCAUCAGCCAUGGCGCGGUGAAUACGUUCCCGGGCCUUGUACACACCGCCCGUCAAGCCAUGGGAGCCGGGGGCGCCUGAAGUCCGGGACCGCGAGGACCGGCCUAAGGCGAAACUGGUGACUGGGGCUAAGUCGUAACAAGGUACC
RNAcentral lists this ribosomal RNA (275 nucleotides) under uncultured bacterium. RNAcentral describes it as "partial 16S ribosomal RNA". It matches the Rfam family "Bacterial small subunit ribosomal RNA", at positions 1217 to 1500 of the family's 1533-position model. The record is from RNAcentral.